AUAUUGUAUGAAAGGGGAGAAGGUUAGUAUUCCCCUUGACAAGGAUGGAAGAGGCCCUUGGGCCUUACAACGUGCAUACAGUUAAGGCAUUGACACCUACUUAUCUAACCACUGUUUUUU
Molecule: small nuclear RNA, 120 nt
Organism: Jaculus jaculus (lesser Egyptian jerboa)
Lineage: Eukaryota; Metazoa; Chordata; Mammalia; Rodentia; Dipodidae
Source: Ensembl